Molecule: ribosomal RNA, 490 nt
Filed under: Bacillus sp. BacB8
Lineage: Bacteria; Bacillati; Bacillota; Bacilli; Caryophanales; Bacillaceae
Description: bacterial SSU rRNA
Rfam family: Bacterial small subunit ribosomal RNA
Source: RNAcentral
AGAGUUUGAUCCUGGCUCAGGACGAACGCUGGCGGCGUGCCUAAUACAUGCAAGUCGAGCGGAUCGAUGGGAGCUUGCUCCCCUGAGAUCAGCGGCGGACGGGUGAGUAACACGUGGGUAACCUGCCUGUAAGACUGGGAUAACUCCGGGAAACCGGGGCUAAUACCGGAUAACACCUACCCCCGCAUGGGGGAAGGUUGAAAGGUGGCUUCGGCUAUCACUUACAGAUGGACCCGCGGCGCAUUAGCUAGUUGGUGAGGUAAUGGCUCACCAAGGCGACGAUGCGUAGCCGACCUGAGAGGGUGAUCGGCCACACUGGGACUGAGACACGGCCCAGACUCCUACGGGAGGCAGCAGUAGGGAAUCUUCCGCAAUGGACGAAAGUCUGACGGAGCAACGCCGCGUGAGUGAAGAAGGUUUUCGGAUCGUAAAACUCUGUUGUUAGGGAAGAACAAGUGCCGUUCGAAUAGGGCGGCGCCUUGACGGUACC